This 301-nucleotide ribosomal RNA is filed under the name uncultured bacterium. RNAcentral's name for it is "partial 16S ribosomal RNA". It matches the Rfam family "Bacterial small subunit ribosomal RNA", at positions 509 to 808 of the family's 1533-position model. The record is from RNAcentral.
CAGCCGCCACGGUAAAACGUAGGUGGCAAGCGUUGUCCGGAAUUAUUGGGCGUAAAGGGCUCGCAGGCGGUUUCUUAAGUCUGAUGUGAAAGCCCCCGGCUCAACCGGGGAGGGUCAUUGGAAACUGGGAAACUUGAGUGCAGAAGAGGAGAGCGGAAUCCACGUGUAGCGGUGAAAUGCGUAGAGAUGUGGAGGAACACCAGUGGCGAAGGCGACUCUCUGGUCUGUAACUGACGCUGAGGAGCGAAAGCGUGGGGAGCGAACAGGAUUAGAUACCCGAGUAGUCCCUGUCUCUUAUACA